Molecule: small RNA, 89 nt
Filed under: Arabidopsis thaliana (thale cress)
Lineage: Eukaryota; Viridiplantae; Streptophyta; Magnoliopsida; Brassicales; Brassicaceae
Description: ATSL183940
Source: RNAcentral
UGGAUCUCCCAAUUUCCGGCAAACCAAAGCCUCCAUUUUUGCUAUCUCUGAUAACUCUCUCUCUCUCUCUCUCUCUCUCUCUCUUUCUC